RNAcentral lists this ribosomal RNA (357 nucleotides) under uncultured soil bacterium. RNAcentral describes it as "bacterial SSU rRNA". It matches the Rfam family "Bacterial small subunit ribosomal RNA", at positions 26 to 385 of the family's 1533-position model. The record is from RNAcentral.
AGAUUGAACGCUGGCGGAAUGCUUUACACAUGCAAGUCGAGCGGCAGCGCGGGGCAACCUGGCGGCGAGCGGCGAACGGGUGAGUAACACAUCGGAACAUGUCCAUUCGUGGGGGAUAGCCCGGCGAAAGCCGGAUUAAUACCGCAUACGCCCUACGGGGGAAAGCGGGGGACUUCGCAAGAGGCCUCGCGCGAAUGGGUUGGCCGAUGUCCGAUUAGCUAGUUGGUGGGGUAAAGGCUUACCAAGGCGAUGAUCGGUAGCUGGUCUGAGAGGAUGAUCAGCCACACUGGGACUGAGACACGGCCCAGACUCCUACGGGAGCAGCAGUGGGGAAUUUGGACAAGUGGGGGCAACCUG